This 4686-nucleotide long non-coding RNA is filed under the name Homo sapiens (human). RNAcentral describes it as "HSALNT0405597". Lineage: Eukaryota; Metazoa; Chordata; Mammalia; Primates; Hominidae. The record is from RNAcentral.
GGUCAAAAUGGUGUCAGCAUGGGAAAGGCUGAACAAAGGAAGAGGAAGAUUUUCAGGCUGCUAACUAGUGGGUGAGAGGACAGUGGGUAGGAGAGAAAGGAGAGACACACUGGACUUCCUGGUAAAAGGGAGGGUUUCAGGUCUGCUGUUAACAAUCAACACCUAUUGAUAGAAAGGGAAUCCCAAAGGGUAAUUUUAAAAGCAGGAAAGUCCUUGAUUCUUUUCAUAUAGUUCAAACAUGAGUUCUGGAGCCCAUCAAACCCACCACUGCCUCUUGCUAGCUAUAUGACAUUGGAGAAAUUCCUUUGUCACCUGCCCCCUCGCCCUGAGUCUCAAUUUUCUAACUUCCAAGAAAGACGCAACAGAAACUCACUUCACAGGGCCUUUAUGAUAACUGAAUGAGACAACAUACUUAGGUAUCUGGUCCUUGAUAUCUGGGAGAUGCUGAGUAAAUGAAAAUGAUCCUUUCUCCCUCUCUGAUACUUAAUGUGGCCCCUUACAUUGGGCUGCUGGUUCUGGAGGGUCGCAGGGAAGCAGGAUGGCUCAUGCUGCUUUCUCCACAAGCUCUGGCACCCGGUAAGAACCAGCACAGCAUGCAUGGAGCACACACCAUACACCAGGCUUGGUGCUAAGAGCUUUACAUGCUUGAUCUCAUUUAACUGCCCUCAGAAGUCAGGGGAUGAUCCCCAUUUCAGAGAACACUGAGGUUCAUAAAUGUCAAAUAACCUGCCUGGAGGAAUCAGGUCUGAGAACAAGGUCCGUGCUCAUGACCACUGGGUGGAACCCUUCUCAACAUGGUACCCGUGGUCCCAGAGUCACAGGCCUUCUUAAGAUGUGAAAUUUGGUUAGAGAUCAAUUUUCUAUCUCUGAAAUCAUCAUAUCCCCUCUCAAUUCUUAUGUGUUUAUAGGAAAGGACGUGUCAACAUAGAGACUUAGGAGGUCAAAGUGAACUUCCUGAUCCCCAACAGGCAGGAGUCCUGCCAAAGCCAAAAUUUAUGUGUCACCUUGGAAGAUGAUGCACCAGGAAGAAUGGGGAGGAGGGAGGAGGAAAAACUGCUGAUGAGGCCGACUCGCUCUUUGGGGCUUAUCAUAUCAGCAAAGCCAGCUCUUUUGAGAUGGAAGAACAAAGAUGUUUCUCCUCUGUGAGGAGGUGACAGUGGUGUGCUGGGUGAAGGAGAGCAGCUUUGUCCUGGAAGGAAUCUGACUUGGAAGGAGGCCCAGUUGUCCAGCAGGUCUCUGACAGCCUGGCAGAAAACCUGGCCUUGCCUCUACUACCCGAAUGACCUUACAUGUGGGAUUUAACCUCUCUGUGCCUCAGGGUCCUCAUCGAUAAAAUAGGGAUAUUUAAUCCCCACAAAGGUUGCUGUGAAGUUUAAAUGUGUCAUUGUAAGGAAAGUGCUUAGCACAGUGCCCGGUACACAGAAGGGACUCGAUAGCCACUAGCAAGCAUCUCCCUCGUUAUUUUGCAGCAUUAUCACCGGUGUCUCCAUUCAGUUAACUUGUCUUAGAGGCUCCAACAAACAAGACCAAGCCAGUGCCUAGCCGGAGGCGGGCGGCACGGGACCGUUUUCUAGUUUUUUUUUCUUUCUUCUUUUUCAACCUUGGCAAAGAGAUAACGCCCUGAACAACGAGGAGGCCUCAGGAUGGCCAUGGAGGUUUGGACGCCCGCUCCAAGCGCUGGUUAAAAAUAAUAUGGAGACGGCACGGGAUUUGGCCUCUAGAAAAUAUAGGUCCCAUUGAAGAUGUGCAGGCGUCUGCACACGGCGGUGUGGAGGAGAAUAUGACAUCAGAUAUUGUAAGAUGUAUUUCUUUCUCUGGAAGAGAAAUGCUUUUUGUUUUUUCUGGGGCUUCUAGAAUAUCAAGUGAGUAUCAUUUUUGACUGCCAUCAUGAUUCAGGCCUCAGUGUCAUGGACUCUAGCGACCGGUCACUGGAGGUUAUGACCAGCUGAGGCCUGAUUGAAAAUGGCAGUCAAAGGACGGCAUCACUUACAAACUGUUUGGUAGUGAGUGUAUUUCUCAGUAGCAACCUUUUCUCCUUGAAAAAUAAUUUUGUAUUUGCCAGCCAACAUAGACUUGCUAAAUAUUCCAAAAAACCCACUGCAUGUUCCACAAGCAUCCUCUAUGCUUUAUUUGGGGGCCAGUGACUUGAUCACUGUUUCACAUCCGGUUUUUUAUUUCACCAAGUGAAUAAAGGCCUUUGCCAACAGAACCCAGCAUGAUCUGAUCCUCAUGGUGUUUUUUUUUUCUCUUAUUGCAGAGAAAGUCGAAAGCCCAGCGUCAAGUCUGUACAUAUACUUUUUUUUUUAAACAGCUUUAUUUAGACAUAGUUGACAUGCAAAACAACUCACCCAUUUAAAGUACGUGAUUCAGCGUUUUUACUAUAUUUACACGGUUGUGCAACCAUUGUUACAAUCUCAUCUUAGAACCUCUUUAUUCCCCCCUCAAAGAAACCCCACUAGUAGUCACUCCUGUUUUUCCCAUCUCCCAUGCCCCUGGAUCUAGGCAGCCACAAAUGUACUUCCUGUUUCUAUAGUACAGUGCUUUUCUGUAUUAACCGGUUCUUAAGGUGACUAUUUCGCAUUGAUGAAGUUGCUCUAGCUAGAAAGCCAAGGCUCUUUCAUUUCCUUCUGCCCUUCUCCUUUGCCAUCCUUCAACACCAAGGAGAAUGGUCCAGCAACAGCUCGGUCCAAGCUUGUCAACCGCCCACCUCCACACACUCCAGCCCCGGUCCACAUCCCCCAAGGCUCCUUGUGGGAUUCCUCAGCAGCACCAAUGCACUGACUGUCACUAUGUUCUCCUAGAUUUGGUCGAAGAUCUCAGUGAAUACCCAUCUGUCCAUCUUGAAGACCUCAUGACACCGGAGAUGGCAAAGGAGAGACGCGAAGAUUACCUCUGCUGGGUUAACAUGGCACAAUCUCGGCUCAAUGAACCCAUCAGCUCCCAGGUUUGAGGACUUCUCCGGCUUCCGCAUCCCGAGUAGCUGGGAUUACGGACGCCUGCCACCACACCCAGCUCAAAUCAUUUUAUGAAUGCAUAUUUCCAUCUGGGUGAAAAAAAAAUCACAAGCCUCUCUCUCUUCCUACUGAGCACCUGUGAACAGUGACCUGCAGUUUGUGGCUGCAGCCAGUCCUCAUGGAGCCUGCUGUUCUUACAUUUCAUUCUGAGGCUCACAUUCUCAGUCACCAUGCAGAAGAACACCCGCCCCAUCCUGGGUCAUUACAGAGUGGGCCAAUCCAUCUGCUGCAUCUGAGGAGCUGGGUCCAGCUUCUACGGUGAAUCCAUAUAUUUCUGUAUUUCCUGGAUAAGGAAGAGGAAAGGAGCUGAGCUGGUGGAGGAAGAAGAUCUAAUAUUAACUGACUCCUUAUUUUGUACCAGCAAAGCAGUUGCCGCUACAGACUGAAUGCAUUUGGGCCAUCCGUGGGUUAGUGGGUUCACGGAAUUCACAUCAAAUCAGAAUCAAAACCAAAACCAAAGUGCAGAUAAAGGCACGCCCGUUCGUCAAGCAGUUUAAACCAAGUGAAAAUCAAAACCAAAACCAAAACCAAAGUGCUGAUAAAGGCACGCUGUGGGUGAUCAGGCCAUGCUUCCACUCAAAUGGAGUGGACAAGUUCCCAAGACCGGUCCUGUCAAGCAGCUCAAACCAAGUCAAAAUCAAAACCAAAACCAAAGUGCUGAUAAAGGCACGCCCGUUUGCCUAGGAAUUCAAACCAAGUCAAAAUCAAAACCAAAACCAAAGUGCCGAUAAAGGCAUGCCGUGGGUGAUCAGGCCACGCUUCCACUCAAAUGGAGUGGGCAAGUUCCCAAGACCAGUCCUACCGUAUUCCAGAUAUCUGGACUCCAAGCGCCAGUUCCUUCCCGGUGUUCAGCCACUGCACUGAUCCUCUGCGGGGGCCUGCCAUGCACUGCUCUGACGAGGCAUUGCACCGGGGCAAAUGCCUACCCAGGAGCAUGCUCAGGAACCGCGUAGCUCAAGCUGGCCGGAGUCCCCUGCAGGGAUGCUCCACAGGGCAAGCCUAAGCUGCCUAAGAGGCUGCCUCGCUUCCCGGUCAGGGAACCAAGAAAUGUAGCAGGAUGAGCCACAGACAAAACUCCUCAGACACCGGGUUAAACAAGGAAGAGGCUUUAUUCGGCCGGGAAAUCGGCAGACUUGCGUCUCAAGAACAGAACUAAGCUCCCCGAAGAAAGAGUUCCUGGCCCUUUUAAGGGCUUACAACUCUAAGGGGUCCAGGUGACAGGGUCGUGAUAGACUGAGCAAGCAUGGGGUACGUGACUAGGUGGGGGUAAGCAAGUCAAGGACGUGUCAACAUAGAGACUUAGGAGGACAAAGUGAACUUCCUGAUCCCCAACAGGCAGAUCCCCAAAAGCCAAAAUGUAUGUGUCACCUUGGAAGAUGACGCACCAGGAAGAAUGGGGAGGAGGGAGGAGGAAAAACUGCUGAUGAGGCCGACUCGCUCUUUGGGGCUUAUCAUAUCAGCAAAGCCAGCUCUUUUGAGAUGGAAGAACAAAGAUGUUUCUCCUCUGUGAGGAGGUGACAGUGGUGUUCUGGGUGAAGGAGAGCAGCUUUGUCCUGGAAGGAAUCUGACUUGGAAGGAGGCCCAGUUGUCCAGCAGUGGAUAUGACGUCAGAUAUUGACACAGCCAACAAUCGACUCAUCAUUUCUGAAGACCUGUGGAGUGUCCAUUGUGG